AGUGUGUGGCCUCUUUGAGCUCUCUGCUUAAGUGGGAGCGUGGGUUUGCUCACAGCAAGGAUUAGACAAGGCAAUGUUUGGGAUGUGCCGGUUUGUCAUGGAGAAGCCUUCCCUGCUAGAACGGCAGAGCCCGGGGGGGCUAUGGGAGAUCAGAGGGGCCUGACCUCACCCAAGGAUCAAGGGGGGCUUUCUGGAGGAGCAGGCACACAAAGAUUCUGGAAUUAGGUGCACAGGGAGGGGUGUGCCUAACAAGCGAGGUCAUUUAUGCACAUUAUGUUCUCUGUGCCCACUCCUAAGCUGGGCGAUGCUGAGGACACAGCAGUGACCUUGAGGAAAAGAUAGACCUCACACCAGACCAGAGUGAUCCGGGCUGAGAUGGGGGAGGUAUGGGCAGAGGGGUUGGGGCUGGGAGUGGGGAAGCCCUGGGAGGCCAGCGGCGGCUUCCUCCCAGGCCAGAGGGGGCAGUCAGGAUGGGCGUCCUGAGAGAGUGGAGACCGCGUAGGCUAAGGGCUUGGGCAGGGAGAACCCACACUCCUGCCCAGAAGCCUGCAGGAGUUGGCGGGCAGGACGCUGGGAGGAAACAGAAGCAGGAUCCCGGGGUUGAGCAGACCCUGGGAGGUGAGGGUCAGGCCGGCUACAUGCUCAGCCUCUGAGCCUCAGCUCUCAGCUCUCAUCCAGUGAGGGGGUGUGGUGCUCUCAGCCAAGAGCUGCCCCGGGUGAGGAGGGCUGGGGGUGGCGGGGGCAGGCCAGGCGGCGCUCAUCUCUCUGUCUCCCCUCACUGCUGCUGCUGCAGGAUCUGUGUGAGCCUUAUCAUCCUCAUCGCCCUCAACGUCCUGCUCUUCUACCGCCUCUGGUCCCUGGAAAGGACAGCCCACACCUUUGAGUCCUGGCACAGCCUGGCCCUGGCCAAGGGCAAGUUCCCCCAGACGGCCACAGAGUGGGCCGAGAUCCUGGCGCUGCAGAAGCAAUUCCACAGCGUGGAGGUGCACAAGUGGAGGCAGAUCCUGCGGGCCUCCGUGGAGCUCCUGGAUGAGAUGAAGUUCUCGCUGGAGAAGCUGCACCAAGGCAUCACAGUCUCAGACCCUCCCUUUGACACCCAGCCCCGGCCCGAUGACAGCUUUUCCUGAGGACCCCGGCCACGCAGCUGUUCCCCCACAUGGACAGAUGGACACACAGAGCCUCGGCGGCCACUGCUGGCACGGUGUGAGCGCCAGGCAUCUCCCACCCGCCCCUCCCGACGGCCCAACCAGGGGCUGUGCAGACGUGGGGACCACGGAACCGAGAUGCACUUUAGCCCAGGGAGCUGGCCUGGCCUCUGGCAGGCCCCCCACUAACUUAUUUUGCCCGGCUGAGGUUGUGGGGGGCGCCUCCUGGGGUGCACGAUUCCCUCAGCUCUGGGUUUAAUGUAUUAUAUUUAUUUGGGGCCGACAGUGCCCCAAUAAAGGGUCAGAAGUGGCUGUGGCUGUGCCUGUGGGGCCCUGGGAGUGGGUGGGAACCUCCUGUUGCACUCAGAUCCUGCCAUGGUGGGGAGGGGACCUCUGUCUGUGUUCUGGGGCCAUAGUCACUGAAACGAUCUGGAAUUCCUGCAGCAUCUUACACAAGCCUUACAUCAUCUGAGGUCAACGCAGGAACUCCG
This 1636-nucleotide long non-coding RNA is filed under the name Pan troglodytes (chimpanzee). RNAcentral's name for it is "long non-coding RNA NONPTRT008079". Lineage: Eukaryota; Metazoa; Chordata; Mammalia; Primates; Hominidae. The record is from RNAcentral.